GUAUCUGGCAAGUGGAAUCUUUCUCUGUCUCUGCUUUAUGAUCAUCACGUGAGCUGCUUCCCUCCACCACACUCUUCCACCAUGAUGUUCUGUCUUACCUCCAGCCAUUAGGAAUGGAGCCAGUUGUCUAUGGACUAAGACCUCUGAAACUGUGAGCCCCCAAAUAAACUUUUCCUUCUCUAAAAUUGUUCUUGUCAGGUCUUUUAGUCAAAGCAGUGAAAAGGAUGACAAAAACAAAGGGAAACUAGUAUGAUUAAGAGGCAAUAGGGGAUUGAUUGUUGGUGGGACUGUGCAAAGUGGUUGAGGACCCAGAGUCUAAAAUCAAAAUGCUGAGAUUAAUAUCACAUCCCUGCUCACCUUUGAGCCUGGGCAAGUAUCUUGUUUAUGAGUGCCCACAUUUUCCUCAUUAUUAAAAUAGUGAUAGUUAUAUGCUCUCUUUACAGGGUGGUGUGAGAAUUAAAUGCUCAAUAAAUAUUGCCCCACUUUACUUCCAUGAAAUAUGUCUAGGAUGAUGAUUGUUGUGUUCGUUAUAGUUAGCCAUGAGAGAUAGCACAGGAAGGGGCCAUGUGACCUGGCUACAUGAGGGACACAGGCAACACAUUGCUGUUCCACAGCUCUUUGUUCUGCCUCCAAGAGAGCAGGAACGUUAUUUGCCUUGCUCUAGCUGCCCACAACAGCUAGAAUAGGCUCACAUUGCAAAAACUCAGCAGAUACUUCUCAAAUGGAUAAGGAAUUAAUGCACACCCAGAAUGUAUCUAAAUCCUUUAUUCAUCAGAUAAACUCCUACUACUUUUUUUUAAAUUAUUUUAGUCGUAGAUGGACAAUUUGUUUAUUUAUUUUAUAGAGUGCUGAGGAUCAAACCCAGUGCCUCACACAUGCAAGGUAAGCACUGUACUGCUAAGCCACAACCCCAGCCACACUUCUUAAAGACUUAUUUCAAGUCCUUUCAAUCUAUCUUGGCUUAUUCCUCCAGAAUCCAAAGAAAAUUUAGGCACAGUCUCUGCCUUUAUGUAUCAGUACAUCUUACAUAUCACUUUUAUUUAAAUUUCCUUAUUUGUCUUUCCCAUUACACAGGAGAAAUGACAAAGGCAAGGAUUGACUAUUUUAACCUUUGGUAAAAGAAUACCAUGCAAGGGAUUAAUUUACACUUUUAUUUCUGCUUGGAGAGACCUUGACAAUGUGUUAUUAAGAGACAAAAGCUAUAGUCUCUUAAUAGUCUCUUAGGAGAUAGCAGGCAGAAAUCCUGGGAUAUGGAGUUUGGGAUCCAUGGCAGACUUUCUAAUCCUGUUGCCAAGGAAGGACCUUUGGUGUCUAAGGGUCAAGACAGAACUUCUUUUGGUAGUCAUUUUAGCUGAGGGCAUAAAAGGACCUAUUGUCUGGGAGAGGAAUGAAAAUAGCACUUUUGUAUUUUAUGGAUGAAAUGCAGAGUGGGCUGGCCUCUAGUUUUGAGGUUUGUAAAGUUCCAACAUCUGACUGGUCUGAGUGCAGCAUCCCAGAACUGAAGGCAGAGCUUGAGGGAGAAUGGUUGUAUGUGACAGAAAGCACUGAGUGCUAAAUGCUACAGAUGCUAAGAUCCAGAAGGGCAUUUUCAGUUGAUUAUGGCAUUAAGAGAAUGGUCUCUCGUGAAGCCACCCUCCAUCAAAGUAACUAUUAGCCAGUGCAGUGAGCACUCUGCAGCAGCUACAGGGCCAGGCUGGCAGUGGGAGGGCAACUUCCAACAGCAACACUACACUGCAUCAAGGAAUAGCAGUGGAUGCUACCAGAACUGAGCUUGAAGUAAAAGUCAAAUGGACCUCCAAAUUGAGUAGUGUUCCCCCUUUAGUGUUCUCAGGAUACUUAAGAAACUUAGAAGAGAAAGGGAUCUCAAGAGAGUGUCACCAGAUUCUCCACUAAUCUAAUAUGAAG
This 1905-nucleotide long non-coding RNA is filed under the name Marmota monax (woodchuck). The record is from RNAcentral. Lineage: Eukaryota; Metazoa; Chordata; Mammalia; Rodentia; Sciuridae.